This 468-nucleotide ribosomal RNA is filed under the name uncultured bacterium. RNAcentral describes it as "partial 16S ribosomal RNA". It matches the Rfam family "Bacterial small subunit ribosomal RNA", at positions 28 to 507 of the family's 1533-position model. The record is from RNAcentral.
GACGAACGCUGGCGGCGUGCUUAACACAUGCAAGUCGAACGGAAAGGCCCUGCUUUUGUGGGGUGCUCGAGUGGCGAACGGGUGAGUAACACGUGAGUAACCUGCCCUUGACUUUGGGAUAACUUCAGGAAACUGGGGCUAAUACCGGAUAGGAGCUCCUGCUGCAUGGUGGGGGUUGGAAAGUUUCGGCGGUUGGGGAUGGACUCGCGGCUUAUCAGCUUGUUGGUGGGGUAGUGGCUUACCAAGGCUUUGACGGGUAGCCGGCCUGAGAGGGUGACCGGCCACAAUGGGACUGAGGUACGGCCCAGACUCCUACGGGAGGCAGCGGUGGAGAAUAUUGCAGAGUGAGCGGAAGCCUGAUGCAGCAACGCCGGGUGCGGGAUGACGGCCUUCGGGUUGUAAACCGCUUUCGCCUGUGACGAAGCGUGAGUGACGGUAAUGGGUAAAGAAGCACCGGCUAACUACGUG